This 3418-nucleotide long non-coding RNA is filed under the name Sus scrofa (pig). RNAcentral describes it as "lncRNA (ENSSSCG00000058455.1)". Lineage: Eukaryota; Metazoa; Chordata; Mammalia; Artiodactyla; Suidae. The record is from RNAcentral.
UUUUUUUUUUUUUUGCCAUAUAUGGUAACAUUUAUAGCUUCCAGGGAUUAAGACCUGGAUGUCUUUGUGGAGCCAUUUUCAGCCUACCGCGGGGCUCACCUUUAUACAGACUGUCUUGAAUUUCCCAGCAGUUCCUCAGUUGUGCUUUACGGACCCAAAAGGGUUCUGUCCCUCCCCAGGUGACUCUGUCCCAUUCAGAUCUCUGGCCUAAAUCUAAAAGCUCAUGCCAACCCCACUGAGCAAACUCUUCUUCUCAAACCAAGCCUUUCCAGGUCUUUCCAACUUCAGUUAAAAAGGUAGAGAAACUGAUCAGACGCUCUUGGUAGCCCAUCAGUAUCUGUGCAUGACGAGGUGGCAAAGCUCUGGGAAGGGUUAGCCGUUUGGAAACGCCUUUAGAAAUCCAAAUACAAAGACUUAGGAUGGUUUGACACUGAUUUCAUACCCCCAUCUACCCAUUUCCACCUAUGUCUUUGUUCCUUGUUUUCUUUAUUUUAAUGUAUUCCAUUCUCACAAUUGUAAAAUGGGGCCCAAGCUGUGCAUUUCAGGGUCAUUAUCGCCUUUCUUAGGAAGUCAAAGCCCCCAUCUUUGACCUUAUGCUUUCUAAUACCACCUAAGGUGGUAAAAUUACCCACAAAUGCACAGUCUGUCAGGUCUUAUUGCUCGAGUGCAACCCACUUCCACAGCAGGAUGAGGAGGGAGGGGGUAGAUUCCUGUGAUUUGCAUUAGCACUUGUCCUUGGGAUAUGCUGAAUCUUGGCUCUGAAACAAAGUGUAAAAAUGAUAAAUUUGUCACCUAAUAUGGACCACUGCAUUCACAAGACUGCAACUCCUAACAUUAGUGGAGAUUAGGAUAUAACUUUUUUAAUUUGGAGCCUCAUUACACAGUAUAAAUAAAAAUAGAGCUCCAACUAUAUCAUCUUUAAUUGCCUCUAGACAGAAUGCUGAUUAUCUUCAGAGGUCUCGACCAUGUGUUUCUGGGGAGCCAGCAGAGUGGGUGCCUUGCUUUAACAGCAAAGUCAGGAAAACCGGGUGGGUAUCAUUAAGAGAGGGCAGAGCUGGAUGUCUGUAGUCCUCCCAACUAGCAGCACAGUUGAACAAAAUGUGUGAACAGAAUAUGACGCCAUGGUCAAGGGGAUGUCUUCCUGUGUGUGAAGUUGGAGGAAGGAUGUACAUUCAGCCAUCUGAGUGUAAGGAACCAUCCAUCCACUUUUCCUUCGGUUUCUCCUUACCAAGAGUUUGAAAAUAGCCACGGUUUUCACUCUUAGCCUGGCAGAGAUCCAGAGAGAGAUGCUGGUACUCAAGCUGUGAUGGCUGAGUCUUUUAGCAUCCCUUGGUACAACUGAUUAAAGCAAUCGAUCAAUACCAAAGUUUGAGAAAAACUAGUGUGGGUAUGUUACAGACGAAGUCCCAUGAAUAAAUAACUCAGAUAAUGGCGUUUGUCUUACUAUCCAGCUCAUUCAUAAUUUAGCAAGAGUAAUACCCAUUAAAAGAACACCUAGGAUGAUCUCUGCCAAAAUUAAGAGUUAAUUGGUUUCUAUCUUCUGGGAAGUCUCUCCAACAAACAGGGAAGGGAAAGUGGGCUAUGUACUGUAAUAGUGGAUGUAAAGUCACUUCUAAGCCAUACUCUCAUCUGCUGGAGAUUUUUCCUUCAAUAGUACUUCAAGUAGCAUCUUUGGGAUCCAACUUCUACAGCUCAACAGAAGUUUUAGAAAGGUCUUUUUUCUGUCCAAGUAGGGCUCAAAUCUGUAUCAUAAAAAAUAUAAUCCACUGCUUUAAAUAAAUUAAUUCACUGGGCUCUGGGUACAGAGAGUAUAAAUAAGUUCCUCCUGGGAUGGAAAUGUUUUUGUAAUACAAAUGAAGCAUUGCUAGAGGCACUCUCUCCAUUCUGGCUGGUUCAGGCUUCAGUUAUAAAUGGUUAAUGGCAUCCCAUUCACGCGGCUCCAGCACUUGGGUUGGUCUUGUGGACAAGAGAAAUCAGGACCUACCCUGGGAAGCGAAAGGUAAGACGACACCCCCAACAGGCCAGGAGAUAGAAAUGUUGUGAUCCAGUUCCAGACUAUCCAGUAAAGCAGACGGUUCUUGCUUUACCACUGAAGAAAUCGGGCACAAGGAAGUCAAGGUGAUUUCAUCAAGGUUCACAUUGGAAGCCCAGUCAGCAAGUUUAUACUGAAGUGACUGCAUAGCUCUAAAUUUUGACGGAAUGAUGCUAGUCCUGGGUGUGCAUUUGAGGCUGGGAAGCUUGUUGAUUACAGGAUUUAAAAAAAAAAGCUGACGUCCUUGCCAUAGUACAGAUGGGCAUCGAUUUUUGCCUUACCAAUUGAUCUGUCACUGGAUUUCAGUGAGCUCUUUAGAGACACACGGAUGAGGUUGGAGUGUGUGAAAAUCGUUGUUGAACCUUAUCAUCUCCAAAGAUGUAUUGGGGGAAAAAUCAUGUCUUUCAAAUAAUGUCUGUGCUUAUACUGCAUCAGUAAUUGCUGUAUAAAAUAAACUUGAGUAUGUUCCUAAUGUCCUCUAGAGAUGCUGUAAGUACCGUUUGCUAGUAUUUAUGAUCUGCCAUCAACCAAGAGUCAAGGCCAUAAAUCAUUACCCUGAAUAUAAUAUUUUUGUUUCAUGAAAGUCUGAGCUUUCAACCCCAAAGCAACAAAUCAGUCCCCUCCUUAUUGAGCCUGUCACAGCCCAUCCUUGAGGACGAGCACAUUUAUUACCAUUUCCGUGUGAAGGAACUGAAAGGAGGGACGGGGACCAUCAAUAUAAAGGGAAAAGCAGUGCCUGGCGGGGGGCGUGGCCUGGCUCCACCACGUGGAGGCGUCACCUCAGGGUCACAUUUUUGAUGGCCCGUGUGUGAUGUGGCGAUCAAGUUUCCAUGUCACCAAGAAUCGAGCUGUUAACUGUCACCUUAGCUGAGAGGCUUGACAUGAGGGCAGAGGGCUCAGAGGAGCUGGAGGCUGAACGUUCAGCCUCUUGACCGACCCCUGAAGCACUCCAGGCUCCUCUGAGGACAAGCCUGCUUCUCAAGGAACCACAUUUGAUGAUCUUCUGAGGGAGAAGAGGUCCCCGGGACCGGCCAGUGUUAGCUUGUGUGUGCAGGAGGAAGCUUUUCCCCUCUAGGGGUUUCUCUUUGACAGAUUGGAUGAAACCUGAGCAAUGCUUCUUGCAGAAUAGGAAGCUGCUUGUUUUCCCUCUCAUGGGGAGAUCACGGUGUGGGCACAGCUCCCAGGGAGGAAUGCCACCCAAAAGGGCAAUAGCCAGAUUUCCAAAGUGGAGCAGCCACUUGGGUGAUGCUAACCAAUAUUUACCAAGACCUGUUGCCAGAGACACAGAAGAGCUCUCGUCAUGAUGCAGAGCUUUUUUCUCUGGUGUCUCAAUGAAACCAUCAUUGAUUGGGGCGUCUUCUCCAUAGGGCCAAUAUUUGUAAGAGG